Equus caballus (horse) is the source of this 333-nucleotide non-coding RNA. The record is from Rfam. NCBI's taxonomy places the organism in Eukaryota, Metazoa, Chordata, Mammalia, Perissodactyla, Equidae.
GGGUGUGAGGAUGAUCUGGCUAUGACAUUUGUCACCCCAUUGAUCACCAGGGUUGACCUGGUUGAUCUGGCUGGCUAGAUGAGCAUGCCCUUCCUCCCUGCCCACUCCAUAUGCAUCCCUCCCAGAGCUGUGUGCUCCCUCGAAGAGGACCACCCUCCCCCGUAGAGGAGGACCAUUCUUUGGUCAAGUGUAUACACUAAUACCUGUGCUCCCCUGCUGGAACCUCCAUAUAGGCUCUCAAGGUCCAUUUGUAGGAGAAUGUAGAGUAGUCAAUGUUCCGAGACUCUAGACACAUCCAGAUGAGGUGCUGCAUGUGGCAGUCUGCCUUUCGUU